UUGCUUUUUUACGCGCAUUUAUAGUUACCUCGAACAUUCCUCGACGCCGACCACAACAGAAGCAUCAUAAAAUGAUGAAAUCAAGUGUCCACCAAGUUCGUGCAACCUGGCCGACACGCUGAACUUUGCUAUGCGCACUUUGCAGGAUGCCAACUUUAAGUGCGAAGAGGUGCAACAGGCUGCUGUCGAUUAUGUCUACGGGGAAUCCAACUGUCGGCAGCAUGCGGUCUACGAGGUGGGCAUGACAUGUUCGACUGCUGUGCAUCUGCCCAAGCAGCACGUGGAGUUCGGCAACGCCAACUGUGUGCUGACUUUGGUGGGCUUUGAGAAGAUGGAGCAACAUGACCCGCCUGGCCUCCGAGCGUCAGAAUUUGCAGGUUGUGGAGCUGCGUGUCUGCUUCUCGGCCAAUGAACUGGUCACCUACGAGAGCAAGGCCGGCGAACUCAUUGAUGGUGGCGUGGUCAACUCCUAGGGCCCACCGCUGGGCGCCUCACGCUUGGCUGUCAAAAAUAUCAGAAAAUGCGGAAAAAACAUACAGAAAGAUCCAUGUGAACAAGUAAUAUAUUUGAUUGAUGCGAUCAUCUGGUUAAAUUAUGCUCACAAAUGAAAUAAGAUAACACAUAAACGAGACUCGAAGGAGACGGACUGGAUAAAGAAGUCGCAAACGAACUAAUAUUUUACAGUUCUUGGAUAAAGCGUCUUCAUUUCAUCAACUUUUGUUUUUGCUGUUUUGAAAGGUUCUAAAGGGGAUUUCAGCGGCCGCCCUAGGAGGAAACAAAUUUGUUGGCUAAAGACGCAGUGCGUCCAAUCAUUCCAGCUAGUUAGCUGCGCUUGGGCUUCUGCACUGGCUGCUUGCGCUUGCAGCAACGUCGCCAGAUUUCAGUGGCGAUGGCCAG
Molecule: unclassified non-coding RNA, 897 nt
Filed under: Drosophila virilis
Lineage: Eukaryota; Metazoa; Arthropoda; Insecta; Diptera; Drosophilidae
Description: GJ17743
Source: RNAcentral